RNAcentral lists this ribosomal RNA (694 nucleotides) under uncultured bacterium. RNAcentral describes it as "bacterial SSU rRNA". It matches the Rfam family "Bacterial small subunit ribosomal RNA", at positions 32 to 715 of the family's 1533-position model. The record is from RNAcentral.
AACGCUAGCUACAGGCUUAACACAUGCAAGUCGAGGGGCAGCAUGGUCUUAGCUUGCUAAGGCCGAUGGCGACCGGCGCACGGGUGAGUAACACGUAUCCAACCUGCCGUCUACUCUUGGACAGCCUUCUGAAAGGAAGAUUAAUACAAGAUGGCAUCAUGAGUCCGCAUGUUCACAUGAUUAAAGGUAUUCCGGUAGACGAUGGGGAUGCGUUCCAUUAGAUAGUAGGCGGGGUAACGGCCCACCUAGUCUUCGAUGGAUAGGGGUUCUGAGAGGAAGGUCCCCCACAUUGGAACUGAGACACGGUCCAAACUCCUACGGGAGGCAGCAGUGAGGAAUAUUGGUCAAUGGGCGAGAGCCUGAACCAGCCAAGUAGCGUGAAGGAUGACUGCCCUAUGGGUUGUAAACUUCUUUUAUAAAGGAAUAAAGUCGGGUAUGGAUACCCGUUUGCAUGUACUUUAUGAAUAAGGAUCGGCUAACUCCGUGCCAGCAGCCGCGGUAAUACGGAGGAUCCGAGCGUUAUCCGGAUUUAUUGGGUUUAAAGGGAGCGUAGAUGGAUGUUUAAGUCAGUUGUGAAAGUUCGCGGCUCAACCGUAAAAUUGCAGUUGAUACUGGAUAUCUUGAGUGCAGUUGAGGCAGGCGGAAUUCGUGGUGUAGCGGUGAAAUGCUUAGAUAUCACGAAGAACUCCGAUUG